GCCUGAGAAUGGCUUGGUAAAUCCAACCAUCAUCAGAUAGUUCAUCAAAGUCAUCAUAUGAUGAAUGAUAAUUCUAUCAUUCAGAGAGAAUAUUAGAUGGAUAGCACCUACAAUGUCAAUCAAAAAUAAUGGAUCCAUUAUCACUCAUCUUAAUGGGAGGUGAUGAUCUAGUUAUCACCAUAACCAGCUUAUUUUAAGGACCUAAUAAUUUAAAAAAUUUAAUUGAUUUAGAGAAGAGAAGAAAAGAUCAAUCAAUAGACCAUAAUCCUUCCACUAACUUCAUCAAGUCACUGAAUCGGGUUAGGUUAUGCUGAUUGAACUGACACCUAAAUCAAUCACACUGAUCAACCUUAAUGGUAUGGGCUAACUCAAAUCACUUAGUGAUCUAAUCAAAAUCUAGUUCACCAAAUUGGCCAGAUAAGUGAGAUCGGUGGGAGGGUUUACUAAGCUUAUCUUAGACACCAUCAAAAUGAUCAGGUAAGUCGCUCCCAAUUAAAAACCAUCGGUUGAAAUGCCAAACUUACCUUAGACACUGAUUGGUUAACUAGUUUUGAUUUGACCAACCUAAUGGUUUGGGUUCAACCACUGAGCCGUAAUCAAGAUCCAUUGGUCUAAUCAAAGAUAUGGACUUGACCAUCUACAACUAUUGUACUAGAGAAACUCUGAUUAAUCUAAUUCAAUAUUUGGUUAGACUUAAUCAAUUUCUCUACAUGAUCAAUCAAUUCUUUGAUUCUAACCUUAGGUCUAACUCAAUUAAAGAGAAGGACUUAAUUUGAGCUAACCCAUACUG
This 790-nucleotide long non-coding RNA is filed under the name Elaeis guineensis (African oil palm). RNAcentral's name for it is "long non-coding RNA (EGUI_LNC043715)". Lineage: Eukaryota; Viridiplantae; Streptophyta; Magnoliopsida; Arecales; Arecaceae. The record is from RNAcentral.